AAAACGACUCUCGGCAACGGAUAUCUCGGCUCACGCAUCGAUGAAGAACGUAGCAAAAUGCGAUACUUGGUGUGAAUUGCAGAAUCCCGUGAACCAUCGAGUUUUUGAACGCAAGUUGCGCCCGAAGCCUUUUGGUUGAGGGCACGUCUGCCUGGGCGUCACGC
This 164-nucleotide ribosomal RNA is filed under the name Zinnia haageana. RNAcentral describes it as "5.8S ribosomal RNA". It matches the Rfam family "5.8S ribosomal RNA". Rfam says of the family: 5.8S ribosomal RNA (5.8S rRNA) is a component of the large subunit of the eukaryotic ribosome. It is transcribed by RNA polymerase I as part of the 45S precursor that also contains 18S and 28S rRNA. The record is from RNAcentral. Lineage: Eukaryota; Viridiplantae; Streptophyta; Magnoliopsida; Asterales; Asteraceae.